CAUUGGGAGUAGAGAGUGGUGGAGAGAAAGAGAGAGAAGGUCAGAGAGGUCAGUAAAGUCCAGACCAUGCACAGCUUCAGGUCAGGUGAAGAAUGGGAAGCUAUUGGCAGAUUUUAAGCAGGGGAAUGUCAUGAUCUAAUGUUUUCAAAAGACCACUCUAGCAGGAGUGUGGUGGAGUGAGAGUGGGUGUGGGAAGAGCAGUUAUAUGACCAUUUAAGCGAUCUUAGCAGACAUGAUGGCAGCUCUGCAAUGAAGACCAGGAGAUGAACACGGGAUACAUUUUGGAGUUGUAGCUGAUCGGGCAUACUGAUGGAUUAGAGGGGGGUAGCAGUAAGCAAGGGGUCUUUGAAGAGUUCACCCAGGAGCUUCAAAAUGAGGAACAGUGCUUGCAAUUUCCUUGAAUACUAAGAACAUCCAGCUAUUUGUAGACAGAUAAAAGAGAGCAGCCCCCAGAGGUGCUGAUCCAGCCAAGAUAGCUCAUCCAGUUCUCAACAGGACUAAAGGACUUAUCUUAUGCCUAGUUUUU
RNAcentral lists this non-coding RNA (526 nucleotides) under Pan troglodytes (chimpanzee). Lineage: Eukaryota; Metazoa; Chordata; Mammalia; Primates; Hominidae. The record is from RNAcentral.